AAUGCAUGAUGCGGGCAUUUUGUAAGCAUUUCCUUAAAUCUUUCCCAACUCUCAGAAAUGGAUUCUUCUACAAACUGAGUAAAAUGUUAUGUCAUUUCUAAAGUU
This is a small nucleolar RNA of Dendrobium catenatum, 105 nucleotides long. NCBI's taxonomy places the organism in Eukaryota, Viridiplantae, Streptophyta, Magnoliopsida, Asparagales, Orchidaceae. The record is from RefSeq and is a predicted model, not a curated record.